Long non-coding RNA from Zonotrichia leucophrys gambelii, 2626 nucleotides. RefSeq lists it as uncharacterized. The transcript has 3 exons. NCBI's taxonomy places the organism in Eukaryota, Metazoa, Chordata, Aves, Passeriformes, Passerellidae. The record is from RefSeq and is a predicted model, not a curated record.
CCAAGGCAGCUCCAUGUUUGUCCAGAAACUCUCUCCUGGCGCCCCCAGGGCACAGCUUGCAUGGCUCCGCCCGCAACGGGCGGCAACAGGCUUUAAAGCACCAACAAACAGCAAGGGCAAAGGUUGAAUUUUCACAGUUCCUGCCAAGAGUUAGACCUGCAACCUCAGCACAGCUGAGAUGAGAGGCUGAAGUUCCAGGCACUCAUUUUUGGUGCUUUGCUCAAAGCUAUUUGCACAUCGAUGAAAGCCUUUGGUUUCUGAAGACAGCUCACUGCUUACACCUGGACCUUCCACCCCACACUCAGCUGGAAGCGUGGAAUCAUUUCCAAAGCCAAGCUGAGUUACAGGUGCGCAGCAGCUCUUCAGACAACUCACACGUGGGCAGUUUGCAAAUCCCCCAGCCAUUUGCUUUCCAUGGGAUCCCAAAGCCUUUGUGCAUGCCCCCUCCCUUGGCCAGAAGCCAGCCCUUGGAAAGGGCACUGCGGCGGGUCCCUGCCCAGCGCCCCGUGGGCACCACUGGCAGCUCCUCAGGGCACCAGACAGAGGGCAAGGCAGAGGUCCUGAGGGGACUCACCAGCUCCUGGGGCACCCACGACCCCCAAAGUGCACACAGAUCACAGCAUUUAAAUGCAGGGGAGGAAUUAAGACUUCAGUAAAACUGGUUUAAUUUCAAUUCAGCUGGAAGUGAACACAGAAAUUCCUUCUCACCAUCAUCCUGACUUCUUAUUGAGUGUCCAGCCCAGCCUUCAGCCUGCUCUCUUCCCUGGCUGUGACUCCUCAAGGAGCCCAGCACUUUACUGGGUGAGGGCACCCAAGUUUCCAGUAUCCAUAACAAGCCAAGUUUGGAAAGGAACUGCCCAAGAAAACCCUAGCAACACUUCCUGAUGUAUCCUUAGUGAUAAAUCCUGCUCCCAUGUAAGAAAUUUGCUACAUGCCUGGAAUCCUUCUGUACCUUCCAGGUAAUAUUAAAUGAGACCAGGAGGCUCCUGAAGACUUUGAGAGCAGAAUUGUGAAUGAAGAUCCCUUGAGAGAUAUGAAAAUUGUAUGGAAGAUUUUGAAGCUGCAGAGGGGGAAAAGCCAAGUGACCCAAGGAGGUUAAUGUGCCCCCUUCCUCCCUCCCCUUUGCAGCAGGGAAUGGGUAAAACCCUCUGAGAAUCUGCACCAAAUCCAGGUCAUCUGCUCUGCAAAACAAUGAUGUGCUCACCUGCAGAGAGGUCACAGAGAUACCCAGAGCAGCAAUGCUCCAAAGGCUUCUCUGCACUCCAGCAGAAACAGACAGGGAAUAAAGAUGUGUGCUUGCAAUCAAAUUAUCCCUUCAAAGAAAUAACAAUAAAUGCUGAACUUCCCAAUUACAGGGGACAUACAAACCUUGGAAACCAUUAAGAACCACUUCUUCUGUUGAUGAAUUAUCCAGAGUGCACAGAGUUAUUUGCUGAGCUUCACUGUACUAUGCUAAUUAUAAAUUAAUAUAUUACUCAUUACACAGUCAGGCUCUACAGUCAACUAAUGCAGUGCUGCAAAGAACCUGUUUUAAAACAUCCUCUGGUACUUUUAUGAUCUAGAUGUUUAAUUUAGUUCUGUUCUGGCUUAAAUGCAACCAACAUGUCAUUCUUUCACAAAGAAAUAUCUCUGGCUCCAUCCUACCUCCUCUGGGGCUCAGCAGCAUAGAUGAAAGAGGAAACUUAGAAAGGCUUUUUUGAUGCUAAGCAGUUACAUGAGAAAUUAACUAAAAUAGCAUAAUUUAAGACCAAUUCCUGUGUUACUGAUUUUAAAAUCACUGUUUAUCAUGGCAGCAUGCUGGAGUGCUCCACAUGAAGCUGUGUCCAGGGAAGGUGAGGACCUGACACCCCCAUGCUCAGGGGUAACUUUGGGUGAGAUGGGGAGACAGGAAAGCAUGAAUAUCCCAGGCAGGACCCCCAGAGGGAUGGGGAGAGCGAAGGGCAGAGCUGCUGGCACCUGAAGUGGCUGUUUAUUGGCAUUAGUCUGACUCAGCCUACAACAUCUGCAUCCCCAGGCCUUGUGCCAGGCAACCUUGUGAAGAGGAACAUCAGCCUGCAGAUAAGGAGAAAACUUUACAUGAAUCUGUCUGGCAGGAUGAAUAGGGGGAAAUGGAGCCCUCUUCCUUGGAAAACAGUCUUUAACAUGGCAUUGUUUCAGGGAGCAUUCCUGCAGAAAUGUGUUUAUUUGUCAGACCAUUCUUUCCAUGCUGUGCUCAACAUAACGGAAACAACAAAUACCGAGCAGGGUCACAGAAGUCAGUCUGGAAACUGCCAAUUCAUUCUUUCCAAGGAAAGCAUCUUGGUGACUCAGCAGUACGGGGCAGAUUGGCAGUCCCACAGCAGAGAGACACAUUCCCUGGAGAAUCCAGUGAUUUUCAGCCUUAAUAACACCGUGAUUUUGCACUCAGAAUAUCUAAGAGCACCCCAUGCAUGACCAGCAGCUGGACAGGGAUGCUGUGAGGGGAAGGCAUCAGGAGCUGAGGAGAGGACCCAUGAAUGCUGGAGAGGAGCUAGAAGGGUGUUGGCCUCAGGCUGGAAGGGUUGGUUUGGAAGGAACCUUAAAGAUCCAGAAGGGUGCUUAACGCCCCCAGAAGGGACCUUAAAGAUAACCUAGUUCCUAUCCCCAC